Molecule: transfer RNA, 82 nt
Filed under: Aureoumbra lagunensis
Lineage: Eukaryota; Pelagophyceae; Sarcinochrysidales; Sarcinochrysidaceae
Description: tRNA-Leu
Rfam family: tRNA
About the family: Transfer RNA (tRNA) molecules are approximately 80 nucleotides in length. Their secondary structure includes four short double-helical elements and three loops (D, anti-codon, and T loops). Further hydrogen bonds mediate the characteristic L-shaped molecular structure. tRNAs have two regions of fundamental functional importance: the anti-codon, which is responsible for specific mRNA codon recognition, and the 3' end, to which the tRNAs corresponding amino acid is attached (by aminoacyl-tRNA synthetases). tRNAs cope with the degeneracy of the genetic code in two manners: having more than one tRNA (with a specific anti-codon) for a particular amino acid; and 'wobble' base-pairing, i.e. permitting non-standard base-pairing at the 3rd anti-codon position.
Source: RNAcentral
UCCUAUUUGGUGGAAUUUGGUAGACACGACAGACUUAAAAUUUGUUUUUUAUUGAGUAACGGUUCGAGUCCGUUAAUAGGAA